CUUCGAGUCGGAGAGCUGAAAUGGCAGUGUCCAGGGUGGGGUGAGAGGAGGGCCAUGAGGGACCCCGUCCUUGCCCCCCAGACCCUGAGAAGUAAAGACCACCCUCUCCUUGUUGAAGAAAUUCAGUGGACAAUGGGGAACCAGGGAGCCAAGCACCAUGACGGCACUCAGCCACAAACGAAACACAGAGCCCUGAUGUACACUCGAGGGCUCUGGGCCGGCGGGAGUUAGAGGGCCGGGACUGCAGCGAGCAUGUGCAGUGGCACCUGGAUGUUCAGCGUGGAGAUGUGGCGCUCCAGGUUCUGCUUGGCCUCCACCUCUUCAUCCAACUGGUCCUGCAGGCUGUUCCUCUCCUCCUCCAGCUGCCGCAGCUUCGUGGACACAUUGAGCUUCUGCCGCGUCUCCUCCUGAAGCAGCUCCUGGGGAGGGACACAUGGAGAUCUCAGGGACCCAUCCCGAGGUCCCAGCCCAGGACCCCCAGUGGAGGAUGUGGCGGGAUGCUCACCUGCGUGUCCUGUAGCUGGGACCCCAGAGCUGCCACAUCCUUGGCCAGCUUGAUGGCCUUGCCUUCUGCCUCGUUGAGCAUCCCUGUGACACUCUCCACUUCAUUCUGAGGGUGCCGAGAGAGUGGUUAGUCGAAGCCUCCAGGCCAAGGUCCUCACUAAGUAAGGGGAGCCCUUUUCCUUCAAGCCUCACCAUACACCAUCAUGGGACAGGACUUGGAGUGUCAUGGAUGGAGAAAAUACCCACAAGGGAGACUCUGUGAAUAAUAAUGCUGUGGCCCCAAAGGAAGUCUGUCACCUACAAGCUGGGAUCCCUGGCCCGAGACACUGUGGUGCUAAGUAUCUGUUAGAGCCCUGUCUGUCCCAGUGGGCCCUGAGCCCGCUAGAUGGAUGUGGAGUCCCUGCCCAGGUUGGCAGAGAUGAAGCACAAUCAUGAGGGAUGGUCAGACUGGUCGACUCCGUAAAGCUAGAAAGGAGAUGCAGCAUGGCACCUGAACGUCUGCGGGGUCCCGUCCCCAUCCCCGUCCUCGCCCAUAUGCUUGGAGAGGCAUGUACUGGCCCUCAUGGACAAAACCAAAGAUGCAGUAAAGGUAAAGAGCCCCCUACUGCCUUCUGGGCCUUCUCCCACAGCCCUGCUGUGUCUGAGCAGGUCGUGUGGGGGGACCAGCCUGCCUUCCACUUCUGCCCACUUACAGCCAGGAUGGAGCCAGCUGGACUCUGCUGUCUCAGACUUCGCUAGUUUCAGGCUAGCAAAGCCCCUGCCUCGACUGCACAGGGAGAGGAUCACACCUAACGCUUCUGCCCAUUUGUCCUGGACUGUUAGCACAUUAAAUAUUUAUCAAGA
Tupaia belangeri chinensis (Chinese tree shrew) is the source of this 1347-nucleotide long non-coding RNA. RefSeq lists it as uncharacterized. The transcript is spliced from 2 exons. Lineage: Eukaryota; Metazoa; Chordata; Mammalia; Scandentia; Tupaiidae. The record is from RefSeq and is a predicted model, not a curated record.